GACGAACGCUGGCGGCGUGCUUAACACAUGCAAGUCGAACGGAAAGGCCCUGCUUUUGUGGGGUGCACGAGUGGCGAACGGGUGAGUAACACGUGAGUAACCUGCCCUUGACUUUGGGAUAACUUCAGGAAACUGGGGCUAAUACCGGAUAGGAGCUCCUGCUGCAUGGUGGGGGUUGGAAAGUUUCGGCGGUUGGGGAUGGACUCGCGGCUUAUCAGCUUGUUGGUGGGGUAGUGGCUUACCAAGGCUUUGACGGGUAGCCGGCCUGAGAGGGUGACCGGCCACAUUGGGACUGAGAUACGGCCCAGAAUCCUACGGGAGGCAGCAGUGGGGAAUAUUGCACAAUGGGCGGAAGCCUGAUGCAGCAACGCCGCGUGCGGGAUGACGGCCUUCGGGUUGUAAACCGCUUUCGCCUGUGACGAAGCGUGAGUGACGGUAAUGGGUAAAGAAGCACCGGCUAACUACGUG
Molecule: ribosomal RNA, 468 nt
Filed under: uncultured bacterium
Lineage: Bacteria
Description: partial 16S ribosomal RNA
Rfam family: Bacterial small subunit ribosomal RNA
Source: RNAcentral